CCCUCUUGAGAAAGUUCAAAGAGCUUCUUGUUUGUCGUAAAUCCUCGCAUUCGUAUGCUGCUUUGGAUCUCCAUCUUCUUCCGAUCUCGUCGUCUCUCUUCGCCUUGGAGUUGAUUAGAUCUCGAUUUGUGAAACCCUUGAAGUUUGCGCUUGAUUUAGUGUGAUUACAGGGAGGGUAUGGCGAAUCGGAUGAAGGAUGAUGAGAAGAAUGUGAAGAUUAUUUGAGGGCUUCAUUAAACAAUCUUUUCUCGGAGGUAUGCCAACCUUCCACUGAUGGGAAAAGCGGCCUUCUCAGAGCGGACUAUGACCAUGGCUCCAACUCACCCUACCCAAGAUUCUAGGUCCUCGCAUUGGUUACUUACCUUUGUUGGUACCUCUUUUGAAACCCUAUUUUAGUAGUACGCUUCCUCUGAGCGUUGACACUGUCUGGUUCGACUACAAAGGCUUGGCCUUGAAGUGGUUCGUUAUUCUUUUCAUCUCCUUGAGCUCUGGGAUUUCUUCAG
This is a long non-coding RNA of Dioscorea cayenensis subsp. rotundata (Guinea yam), 503 nucleotides long. RefSeq lists it as uncharacterized. The record is from RefSeq and is a predicted model, not a curated record. The transcript is spliced from 4 exons. NCBI's taxonomy places the organism in Eukaryota, Viridiplantae, Streptophyta, Magnoliopsida, Dioscoreales, Dioscoreaceae.